GACGAACGCUGGCGGCGUGCCUAAUACAUGCAAGUAGAACGCUGAAGGAGGAGCUUGCUUCUCUGGAUGAGUUGCGAACGGGUGAGUAACGCGUAGGUAACCUGCCUGGUAGCGGGGGAUAACUAUUGGAAACGAUAGCUAAUACCGCAUAAUAGUAGAUGUUGCAUGACAUUUGCUUAAAAGGUGCAAUUGCAUCACUACCAGAUGGACCUGCGUUGUAUUAGCUAGUUGGUGAGGUAACGGCUCACCAAGGCGACGAUACAUAGCCGGCCUGAGAGGGUGGUCGGCCAAACUGGGACUGGGAAACGGCCCAGACUCCUACGGGAGGCAGCAGGAGGGGAUCUUCGGCAAUGGACGGAAGUCUGACCGAGCAACGCCGCGUGGGUGAAGAAGGGUUUCGGAUCGUAAAGCUCUGUUGUAAGAGAAGAACGAGUGUGAGAGUGGAAAGUUCACACUGUGACGGUAUCUUACCAGAAAGGGACGGCUAACUACGUG
RNAcentral lists this ribosomal RNA (495 nucleotides) under uncultured bacterium. RNAcentral describes it as "partial 16S ribosomal RNA". It matches the Rfam family "Bacterial small subunit ribosomal RNA", at positions 28 to 507 of the family's 1533-position model. The record is from RNAcentral.